This 1352-nucleotide ribosomal RNA is filed under the name Escherichia coli. RNAcentral describes it as "partial 23S ribosomal RNA". It matches the Rfam family "Bacterial large subunit ribosomal RNA", at positions 1 to 1488 of the family's 2925-position model. The record is from RNAcentral. Lineage: Bacteria; Pseudomonadati; Pseudomonadota; Gammaproteobacteria; Enterobacterales; Enterobacteriaceae.
GGUUAAGCGACUAAGCGUACACGGUGGAUGCCCUGGCAGUCAGAGGCGAUGAAGGACGUGCUAAUCUGCGAUAAGCGUCGGUGAGGUGAUAUGAACCGUUAUAACCGGCGAUUUCCGAAUGGGGAAACCCAGUGUGUUUCGACACACUAUCAUUAACUGAAUCCAUAGGUUAAUGAGGCGAACCGGGGGAACUGAAACAUCUAAGUACCCCGAGGAAAAGAAAUCAACCGAGAUUCCCCCAGUAGCGGCGAGCGAACGGGGAGGAGCCCAGAGCCUGAAUCAGUGUGUGUGUUAGUGGAAGCGUCUGGAAAGGCGUGCGAUACAGGGUGACAGCCCCGUACACAAAAAUGCACAUAUUGUGAGCUCGAUGAGUAGGGCGGGACACGUGGUAUCCUGUCUGAAUAUGGGGGGACCAUCCUCCAAGGCUAAAUACUCCUGACUGACCGAUAGUGAACCAGUACCGUGAGGCGUACCUUUUGUAUAAUGGGUCAGCGACUUAUAUUCUGUAGCAAGGUUAACCGUAUAGGGGAGCCGAAGGGAAACCGAGUCUUAACUGGGCGUUAAGUUGCAGGGUAUAGACCCGAAACCCGGUGAUCUAGCCAUGGGCAGGUUGAAGGUUGGGUAACACUAACUGGAGGACCGAACCGACUAAUGUUGAAAAAUUAGCGGAUGACUUGUGGCUGGGGGUGAAAGGCCAAUCAAACCGGGAGAUAGCUGGUUCUCCCCGAAAGCUAUUUAGGUAGCGCCUCGUGAACUCAUCUUCGGGGGUAGAGCACUGUUUCGGCUAGGGGGCCAUCCCGGCUUACCAACCCGAUGCAAACUACGAAUACCGAAGAAUGUUAUCACGGGAGACACACGGCGGGUGCUAACGUCCGUCGUGAAGAGGGAAACAACCCAGACCGCCAGCUAAGGUCCCAAAGUCAUGGUUAAGUGGGAAACGAUGUGGGAAGGCACAGACAGCCAGGAUGUUGGCUUAGAAGCAGCCAUCAUUUAAAGAAAGCGUAAUAGCUCACUGGUCGAGUCGGCCUGCGCGGAAGAUGUAACGGGGCUAAACCAUGCACCGAAGCUGCGGCAGCGACGCGUAUGCGUUGUUGGGUAGGGGAGCGUUCUGUAAGCCGUUGAAGGUGUGCUGUGAGGCAUGCUGGAGGUAUCAGAAGUGCGAAUGCUGACAUAAGUAACGAUAAAGCGGGUGAAAAGCCCGCUCGCCGGAAGACCAAGGGUUCCUGUCCAACGUUAAUCGGGGCAGGGUGAGUCGACCCCUAAGGCGAGGCCGAAAGGCGUAGUCGAUGGGAAACAGGUUAAUAUUCCUGUACUUGGUGUUACUGCGAAGGGGGGACGGAGAAGGCUAUGUU